Molecule: ribosomal RNA, 650 nt
Filed under: uncultured bacterium
Lineage: Bacteria
Description: bacterial SSU rRNA
Rfam family: Bacterial small subunit ribosomal RNA
Source: RNAcentral
GCAGUCGAGCGGGCGUAGCAAUACGUCAGCGGCAGACGGGUGAGUAACGCGUGGGAACGUACCUUUUGGUUCGGAACAACACAGGGAAACUUGUGCUAAUACCGGAUAAGCCCUUACGGGGAAAGAUUUAUCGCCGAAAGAUCGGCCCGCGUCUGAUUAGCUUGUUGGUGAGGUAACGGCUCACCAAGGCGACGAUCAGUAGCUGGUCUGAGAGGAUGAUCAGCCACAUUGGGACUGAGACACGGCCCAAACUUCUACGGGAGGCAGCAGUGGGGAAUAUUGGACAAUGGGCGCAAGCCUGAUCCAGCCAUGCCGCGUGAGUGAUGAAGGCCCUAGGGUUGUAAAGCUCUUUUGUGCGGGAAGAUAAUGACGGUACCGCAAGAAUAAGCCCCGGCUAACUUCGUGCCAGCAGCCGCGGUAAUACGAAGGGGGCUAGCGUUGCUCGGAAUCACUGGGCGUAAAGGGUGCGUAGGCGGGUCUUUAAGUCAGAGGUGAAAGCCUGGAGCUCAACUCCAGAACUGCCUUUGAUACUGAGGAUCUUGAGUUCGGGAGAGGUGAGUGGAACUGCGAGUGUAGAGGUGAAAUUCGUAGAUAUUCGCAAGAACACCAGUGGCGAAGGCGGCUCACUGGCCCGAUACUGACGCUGAGGC